CCUUCGAUAGCUCAGUUGGUAGAGCGGUGGACUGUAGACGGUGGUUGAGAAAACAGCGCGGAUAUCCAUAGGUCGCUGGUUCAAAUCCGGCUCGAAGGA
RNAcentral lists this transfer RNA (99 nucleotides) under Drosophila ananassae. It matches the Rfam family "tRNA". From Rfam's summary of the family: Transfer RNA (tRNA) molecules are approximately 80 nucleotides in length. Their secondary structure includes four short double-helical elements and three loops (D, anti-codon, and T loops). The record is from Rfam by way of RNAcentral. Lineage: Eukaryota; Metazoa; Arthropoda; Insecta; Diptera; Drosophilidae.